AGAGUUUGAUCCUGGCUCAGAACGAACGCUGGCGGCGUGCUUAACACAUGCAAGUCGAACGUGAUCCAGAGCUUGCUCUGGUGAAAGUGGCGCACGGGUGAGUAACGCGUGGAUAACCUGCCCUGGUAUCUGGGAUAACAUCUCGAAAGGGGUGCUAAUACCGGAUAAGCCUACGGGCUCUUCGGAGUCUGCAGGAAAAGGAGGCCUCUAUUUACAAGCUUCCGUAUCAUGAUGGGUCCGCGUACCAUUAGCUAGUUGGUGGGGUAAUGGCCUACCAAGGCGACGAUGGUUAGCUGGUCUGAGAGGAUGAUCAGCCACACUGGAACUGAGACACGGUCCAGACUCCUACGGGAGGCAGCAGUGGGGAAUUUUGCGCAAUGGGGGAAACCCUGACGCAGCAACGCCGCGUGAGUGAUGAAGGCUUUCGGGUCGUAAAGCUCUGUCAGAGGGGAAGAAAUGAAACGUGCUAAUAUCACGUUUUCUUGACGGUACCCUCAAAGGAAGCACCGGCUAACUCCGUGCCAGCAGCCGCGGUAAUAC
RNAcentral lists this ribosomal RNA (540 nucleotides) under uncultured Geobacter sp. RNAcentral's name for it is "bacterial SSU rRNA". It matches the Rfam family "Bacterial small subunit ribosomal RNA", at positions 8 to 526 of the family's 1533-position model. RNAcentral also lists the same sequence under 1 other name. Lineage: Bacteria; Pseudomonadati; Thermodesulfobacteriota; Desulfuromonadia; Geobacterales; Geobacteraceae. The record is from RNAcentral.